AGGAUUUGAGCGUCUGACUGUGGACACAGAGCUCAAUAAACUAACAGUAUCUGGCACUAUGGACCCGGUCAAGGUGGUGAACAAACUGACGAAACUGCACGCAGAAAUGGUGAGCUUCGGAGCAGCCAAGGAAGACGAUGGCAAGAAAGAAGGGGGAAAGAAGAACGAAGAUCAAGUCACCAGUCAGGUAAAAGCCUCUCAAGCAUACUAUCCUGGACAGGCCAGUGCUCUUCGGCUCCUUGAUCUCCUUUUUUCACUCCUACACUUCGAACCUACCCGAUGAUCAUUCUCCAAUCAAUCCUAAAUGUGCAAAAAAGAUUGACUAUUCCCGAAGAUAAAUUUGGAAUCUCCGUUGAUUUUGUCGCCUAUACAAACGGAUCUCCAGUUUCCAGAAGUAGCGUUCUUCGGUUUAAGGAAAGUAGCUUGUGUUCAUAACGAUUAUCAAUCAGAAGCUUUCUUGCAAAACUGUCCUUAAGAUUGGCAAUUUAAUCAUCACUUUCUAUAUUUC
This 508-nucleotide long non-coding RNA is filed under the name Eucalyptus grandis. RNAcentral's name for it is "long non-coding RNA (EGRA_LNC002576)". The record is from RNAcentral. Lineage: Eukaryota; Viridiplantae; Streptophyta; Magnoliopsida; Myrtales; Myrtaceae.